AAAAUUAUAAGGUCUAAAGCAGUUAUUUUACUUUUGGAGUGGUUGUGCAUCUUCUCACAAAAUAAUAUAAAUAUAUGUAUGGAAUACAGCACAACUAUUUUAAUGGUAUAUCAAUCGUUGUCAAAAUUCCAAUUCUUGUCAUUAAAGCAUUCUACCAAAUCAGUCUUCCUCACAGUCUUUGCUUCGCCAAAGUAUGUUUCCACAAUUUGCUUAGACCUCUUUGUGUUAAACCUAAAAUCUUCAACAUCACUAAUACAAUUUGGAUCAGUAACUACUGCAAACUCCUUGAGUGAAAAGCAUAAUAUUUUACCAUUCACAUGUAUGAAAAAUGAGUCAAUAGAACUUUCUUCCAUCUCUAGCACCAUCAAGUACUUGAACUACUGAUGUUAAACCUCACAAUGCUUCAUACUGAGGAAUAUAAGAAAAUAGGUUUUCUUAGAUAGUUUGUAUUGUUGUGGAGUAAGUUUUUCUUUGGGGUCAGAAAUCAUGUCGGUGCUAGUAUAAGAACUGAUAUGCACUAAUAAAGUAGGUGGGUGUUUAACAAAGAAUUUUACUUCCUGCAUACAAACACCACAAAAAGCAUGAAUACAUACUUGAAAAUACAGAUAAAUACAACUAGGUUGGUGUAAUACUUUCAUUGUAUUUAAUAUAGGAGGUUUCGGAGUUCAAAUAUAGAUAGAAACAUGUAUACAUGAAUACAUUAUUUUUAUUGUAUCCAAAAAUAUAGUACAUACAAAAUACAACCUUGAGUUAUGACAAUAAUGACAGAAUUAUUGGUGUGUUUAAAUUUGUUAUUUACUAAACUCAAAUACAUAUAAAUACAAUUAAAUAUAAAAAAUAAAAAUAUUGUAUGAAUUAAAAUCUGUGUAUGAGGACGAAUAAACAUAAAUACUUGUGCAAUAUAAAGUAGGGAGGUUAUAGAAAUAUACAAAAUAGAUUUGAAAAUAAAACAAAAAAAUUAGAUUACCUUGUCCAUCCAUGUUUUUGAGCUACUUCCGAUAAGUUUUUUUUUUCUUUUCACAUUUAUGUUUUGUACUAAAGCUUGAGGAACAUCAAGAACUGUGGAUCUUUUCAAAGAUUUCGCAUCUUGACCUUGUUUUCUCGGCUUCUAUAGUUGUUGAUGAACUUAUUAAUACAGAUUCCUCUUGAGUGAUUCGCAGAUCAAAGGAUAUGAGUGAUUUAGUGGGUAUACCUUAUCUAACCUUCUUCGGAAUUGCUAAAACAAAAUUUGAAGUUUUAUCCUCAAAACCUAACCAUGGCGAUUUUUAGAAAAAAAUGAGUGAAGAGAAAAAAGAAGAUGGUAGAGUAAUUUGGUAUGAACCGCUCAAAAGCUUUACCAAUUACCACGAACUUUUAGAGAAAAAAUAUGAGGAUCAAUUAUGAGAAAUUUGUUCCUACAAUCUUGUUGUGGGAGAGAGAUCGUGGAGAGAGAAAGAAGAAAAAUCUUGCUAUGAUUUGAAAGAGGGCGUAUAUUAACU
This 1478-nucleotide long non-coding RNA is filed under the name Nicotiana benthamiana. Its description in RNAcentral is "long non-coding RNA (NBEN_LNC014505)". The record is from RNAcentral. Lineage: Eukaryota; Viridiplantae; Streptophyta; Magnoliopsida; Solanales; Solanaceae.